Molecule: non-coding RNA, 436 nt
Organism: Pelobates cultripes (western spadefoot toad)
Lineage: Eukaryota; Metazoa; Chordata; Amphibia; Anura; Pelobatidae
Source: the annotation of a GenBank genome assembly
GUGACCGUGGCGGUGUAGGUGGAAGCGGUGGAGGAGGAGGUAGUCAACACUGUUUUUUAUUUGUUUUUGUUUUUUUAAUUGGGGUAGCCCCAAAAUAUUGGGACAUAUAAAAAAGAUCACUUCCGAUCACACUCCAGUGAGGGAAUUAAGGAUGGCACGUUGUCCUUGUAACGGGAAUCCAGCAGGGUGGCCACCCAGUAAUCAGCACAAGUUAGAAUGUGGGCAACUCGACAGUCGUUGCGCAGGCACCUUGGUGACUCUAGAUAACCUCGGGCCAAUCACAUGCCCCAUGACGGUGAUGAUGCAUUCGGAUGUCUGCCCUAUCAACUUUCGAUGUUACUUUCUGUGCCUACCAUGGUGACCACGGGUAAUAGGGAAUCAGAGUUUGAUUCCGGAGAGGGAGCCUGAGAAACGGCUACCACAUCCAAGGAAGGCA